GGCCUCAUCGUCUAGUGGUUAGGACACCAGGUUUUCAUCCUGGUAACAGGGGUUCGAUUCCCCUUGAGGCUA
RNAcentral lists this transfer RNA (72 nucleotides) under Patescibacteria group bacterium. Its description in RNAcentral is "tRNA-Glu". It matches the Rfam family "tRNA". Rfam says of the family: Transfer RNA (tRNA) molecules are approximately 80 nucleotides in length. RNAcentral also lists the same sequence under 3 other names. The record is from RNAcentral.